CCCCUGCCUGACAGCCUCCGGCCUGAGAGUCAGGCCUGGGAGGCGGCCCGGGAUGGGCCGAGCCGUGAAGGGUUGGGGUCCCCCCUCUGAACAUCCCCCCCUUCUGCUCUCUUCCCAUCUGUCUCUCCAAGGCUAGGCACUGCCUUUUCUUUCUCUAGUCAUUUAGCAGAUAUUUUACUGAGCAUCUACUAUGCGCUGGCCUGUGAGGAGUCAAAGGUGAACUCCAUCCAGCCCCUGCUUUCAGGUAGCACACUGCUGGGGCCGGACCUGGCCAUGAACCUGAGUAAGUAGCAUGUUGCUGGCUCUAAGGGGAGUCAUGAACAAGCACCGUGGUGCCGAGGAGACUGUCCAGAGUGUGAAGAAGGUGGGUUUUGAAGGACGGAUGAAGAAGGAGGGCCUGGCUUUCCAGCGUGAGCAAAGGCACAGACCGGAACAGUGAACAUCUGGGCAUGGCUGGAGUUUGGGGUAUGUUGGGGAAAGAUGGGGCAUGGGGCCGGGAGGCCAACAGUACGUGGAUCAUGAAGGGCCUCUUUAAGGGGCUUGGCCAUUGUUUUAACUGAGGGUGCUGGGGAGCCAUAGAAGGUUAUAGGGAAGGUGAGUAUUGAGGACAGACACGAGUUACAGGGAAGAUCGCUGCAGCAAGAGUUGAGGGUGGAUUGGAGGGGUGCUCACCUCAUACCCAGGAGCCAGGAGGAGAGAGGGGGAUGGGAAGCACUAGGCAAGGUGGGGCACUUGCUCGGAGAGUUGUCCUUGGGACCUCCUUCUCCGCAUUGCCAUCUCCCUUCUGAAAUUGCCAGCACCGAAGAUGUGGACCAGGAGGGACUCACAUCUGGAGGCCAGGCCCUCCGCUGCCCCCCCCUCCACCCCACCUUCCUCCGGAUGACUGAAGCCCACCCCUGGCACAGGAGGAGUGGGAAGGGGGGGCUCAUUGGUCCUCGACGCAGGCCGCCCCCUGUCUGAGCCCAUCACCCCUCGGAGACCAAGCCUCCGAAACCAACCACAGCUGUUUCAGUUUUUCCUCCAGGGCCUCUCCUAAACCUCAACGCAGGGAGGGGGUGGGCGGAGCGAGCCAGCUCCGAGGCCUUUCCUGUGUGCUUCCCCUCCAAGGGCCACGGACACCCUCCGCCUGAUCGAGCAAUAGGGGCAUUGGAGGAGUCCUGGACCGAGGAGCAGAGGUGGUUCCGGCACAGUCCUUUCCUGGCUGCGUCGCGUGGGUCUGGCUGGCUGUCCCAGCCCAGCAGGUGGGCUCCCAGGGCAUCAAGAGCUGCUUCCCCCGACUUGGAAGACAGGCCCAGCACCACGAAGCGUUUGCUGUUGGACGAGGGGCUGCUUUAUUCUCCAGGGUCUGGCCAGCUGAGGGCUGGUAGAGAAUCAGCAUGGCGUGGGGAACAGGCCUCCAGAAAGGCCCCUCUGGGAGUCUGGGGAGUUGGAAUCCGGUCCCAGCCCUGCCACGCCGUCCCCCAGGGCAUCCUGGCAAAUCAGUCUGCCCAUCUGUAAACUGGGGAGGUGAAACCCUGCUCUCCUACACAAGGUUGCUACGGGGGGGAAUUCAUGUCUGUUGCACUAAAUAGGUGAUUCCCCCCCCGACCCCUCCCCCCCGCAAUCUCAGAAGGUUUUAGCUUCCCUCUUGUCUCUUUCUAGGCUGAGCUUACCUUUCUGGGGUCAACACCUCUGGGAAGUCUCCCUCUUACCCCUACCUGACCCCCAACAGUCCCUGCCUGCCUAUGCUGGAGCAGGGAGUCUCUCCAGAUUCCAGUGUCCCCUGUAACACGGGUCAUGGUUUUCCCGGGUGGGGGCAGGGACCAGGUGCACUGUGUGUGCCGAGCUCCCGCCCAGUCCUCGGGGCCUCCUAGCGAUGGCACCCACUUAUCUGCCCGGCCCUGUGCCCGGCGCCUUGCUUUCAUACAUUAUCUCAUUUCAUCUACACCUCCCCCCUGCCUGAUGCUUGCCAGCUGGGAUGUACCGCACAGGGAAGCCGCUCCGGGCCCUGAAAUGAAUGAAGCUGGCGACAGAAUCGGGAGAAGGGAGGCGAGUCCUAAUUUGGGGGCUGCCUGGCUGUGACUGCGGCCAAGGACCUUACCCUCGCGGAACCUGUUUCCAGGCCUGGAAAGUGGGAACGUUAGCAUUCACUGACUGGCUGCAGGAUUACAGAGGUGAUGUGUGGGGGGGCUCCACAUUAGUUCUCUCUUCUGCACCCUCAAGGCCAAGGCUCCCCACCGGGGGGGCUCUCCUUCUCCCUCACUGCUCUGCAGCAGAGGCAGUGAACUCUCUGGAAUAUUCCCCCAUUCUAACAGGCAGCUCUACAGGCUGGACCUUGGCCGCUGCUGUUAGAAAUGAGCUCAGCACCUCUGGACAGGGGACCCAGGCCAGCGCGGCCCUUCCCAGACUGCCGACUCCUGCCCUGUCCUGCCCGCUCCUGCCCUGCCCGUGUGAAGGCAGUCCCUCCUCUAGCCGGCAGUGGCAGGGAGGGCUGCCAGACGCAUUGAAACACCAUCCACACCCCUCAGCCAACCUGACUGGCCCAGCCUGGGGAUGGUGGAGGUGACCAGAGCAGGCUCCGAAGUCCUAGAAGUCAGAGCAGGAGACGACCCCAGAGAUUCUGCACCUGAUCUGCUCCCUCAUUUAAGGAUGGAGCAGAAGCCACCCAAAGAGACCGGCUACUUGGCCAAGGUCACACAGGGAGCUAGGGCUGAAGUGACUUCCGUCUAUGGAGCCAAGGAAAGAACAUGAUCCCGGGAUACCUGGACCUCAAAAAGUGAUCUUUUCCGGGGCGCCUGGGUGGCUCAGUCGGUUAAGCGGCCGACUUCGGCUCAGGUCGUGAUCUUGCGGGUUUGUGGGUUCGAGCCCCGCGUCGGGCUCUGUGCUGACGGCUCAGAGCCCGGAGCCUGCUUCGGGUUCGGUGUCUUUCACUCUCAGCCCC
This 2920-nucleotide long non-coding RNA is filed under the name Lynx pardinus (Iberian lynx). The record is from RNAcentral. Lineage: Eukaryota; Metazoa; Chordata; Mammalia; Carnivora; Felidae.